Molecule: long non-coding RNA, 406 nt
Organism: Prionailurus viverrinus (fishing cat)
Lineage: Eukaryota; Metazoa; Chordata; Mammalia; Carnivora; Felidae
Exons: 3
Source: RefSeq, a predicted model, not a curated record
GAGAAUCUAUUCCCCAAGUUGCAAAUGGAAGCAUCUAAAGUGGUCAGGAAGGCCAACCUGCAGCUAUCCAUGGACACGACACUUAUUGUGAAAAUCCCAGAACACAGCAGUGAGGUUGAAGAACCCUCCUGGACCACAGAGACUGAAAAGGACUACAUUAGAAAGAACACACAGGUAACUAAAUAGAAUUGGAAAAAAAAAUGCCUGAAUGAAAUGAGAAGUUCAACAAAGAAACAAACUAUAAAAAAACAACAACCAAACAGAAAUCCUAAAGAUAAAGAAUAUAAUAAUUGGACUGAAGAAUUCAACAGAGAGCUUCAGCAACAGAUCUGACCAUCAGAAGAAAGAAUCAAUGAACUGAAAGGUAAUUUUGAAUUAUCCAAGAAGAGGAGCAAAAAGAAAACAG